CUGAAAGGUAAAAUCAGCAUCAGAUUG
Molecule: unclassified non-coding RNA, 27 nt
Filed under: Dictyostelium discoideum
Lineage: Eukaryota; Evosea; Eumycetozoa; Dictyosteliales; Dictyosteliaceae
Source: RNAcentral